RNAcentral lists this ribosomal RNA (497 nucleotides) under uncultured bacterium. RNAcentral describes it as "partial 16S ribosomal RNA". It matches the Rfam family "Bacterial small subunit ribosomal RNA", at positions 36 to 507 of the family's 1533-position model. The record is from RNAcentral.
UCUUCCCUCUGGCGGCGUGCCUAAUACAUGCAAGUCGAGCGAACAGACGAGGAGCUUGCUCCUCUGACGUUAGCGGCGGACGGGCGAGUAACACGUGGAUAACCUACCUAUAAGACUGGGAUAACUUCGGGAAACCGGAGCUAAUACCGGAUAAUAUAUUGAACCGCAUGGUUCAAUAGUGAAAGACGGUUUUGCUGUCACUUAUAGAUGGAUCCGCGCCGCAUUAGCUAGUUGGUAAGGUAACGGCUUACCAAGGCGACGAUGCGUAGCCGACCUGAGAGGGUGAUCGGCCACACUGGAACUGAGACACGGUCCAGACUCCUACGGGAGGCAGCAGUAGGGAAUCUUCCGCAAUGGGCGAAAGCCUGACGGAGCAACGCCGCGUGAGUGAUGAAGGUCUUCGGAUCGUAAAACUCUGUUAUUAGGGAAGAACAAAUGUGUAAGUAACUAUGCACGUCUUGACGGUACCUAAUCAGAAAGCCACGGCUAACUACGUG